GCGAUGUGGUGGAGUGGAAAAGACUUUUAAUUGGUGGUAACACAACAAAGGAAAUAGAAUACCCCUCCUUGGAAGAGGGAGGAGCCUGCAGUGACAGGCACCAUGCAAGAAAGAGCCCAGUUCUGAGACUGAGACAUCUGGGCCAUGGUCCUGGCUCCAUGACUACCACAGCAUGCCUGUGGGCAGCCCAUUCAGCCUCUCUGACCACUAUUACAUCUUUGUAAAAUUCGGUGCCCAUCUUUGCAGAGUUGUUAGGAUUAUAUAGGGGAGUGGAUUUAAAGUAUCUAGCAAAAUGCCUGGCACCAAAGUAAAUGCACAUUUAAUAAAAGCUGCUAUUGAUGUUAUUAGCAGUACAGCUUAAAAUUGUCUAGGACCUUGGAAAGCCACAGGAUUAGAAAAAUAAAAAUAAGAUGGUGAUAUUUUAAAAACAAGCCAAUCAUAUACUAAAGGAAUAUGAGGAAAAAGGAUAGAGAAUAGCAUAGGAAACUUAUUUUUAGUAGUAUGCCCUUUAAAUAGACCUCCCUCUCUCCUUACCUGGAGAAGAAGCCAGCUUCCAAUAAAAAGCUUUUUUUGAAAAAUAUUUUCGAAGUUUCCUCUAACAAGACUUUGAAGGGGGGAUUUUUUUUUUUUUUUUUUGCUAACUCAUAUUUCUUCAGUUCCCACAUUAAAUGUCAUCUCCUUAGAAAGGCAUCCCUGAUGUUCCAAACUAAGGCUCCACCAACUUUUUCUAUAAAGGGACAGAGCAUAGAUAUUUUACUUGUAAAAUGUACUUUGCCAAUCUUCUAUGGUCUCUGUCACAUCAUAUUAUUAUUCCUAAAUUUACAACCCUUUAAAAAUGUUAAAAAAAAAAUUGGUCAUAGGUUUGUAGACCACAGUUUGUUGGUUCCUGUUCCAAAUUUCAGUCGUCCCUGAUAGUCUUUUGGCAGCAUACUAUUGCUUUUCCUUUGUAUCACAUGUCUCUAUUUGAUGUUAUAUAUUUAUUUGUUUGAUAUUUGCCAAACUCCUGUGACUGUAAACUCCUGGACGAAGGGACCAUGUUGAUUUUGCUUGAGGAGAGUUCGACACUGUGUCUCUAGCACAGAGAUGUACACAUAGUAGGUACUCCAUUAAUAUUUGUUCAAUAAAUAAAACAAUCUAAAAGUAAUUCCUAUUCACUGUAAGAAAAUCUGAGGAAUACCCCCCAAAAUGUAUAAAAGGUAAAGCAAUAAUCUAUUCAUCAUACCACCACUCAGAGACAGCUGUUGUCAGCAGGCUUUAUUUUUGUAUUUGUAUUGGUACGUGUAUAACUACAUACUGUAUUUACACGAUAGAAAUCUUUCUGUCUCGAAAGCUUCAUAGUCUAGCUUUUCACUUAAUAAACAACUCAGCAAAGAAUAUUUUAUGCAUAUGUCUUUGUUGGUGUUUCUAGUUAUUUGCUCAGAAUAGAUUCCAAGAAAUCGAAUCAUGAGAUCGAAGGAGAUCAACAAGUUUGUGGCUCUUGAGACACAAUGCCAAAUAUCCUUCUAGAGAGCUGGCAGAUAUCAGAAACCUCUUCUCAGCUUUAGAGAUGCUUUUCACACAGACAGAAGAUUUCCUCUCCACACCAGAGGCAGCAGGAUAAGAUGUACCAUCAGACCGCACUGGCUUACCGUGGUGACAAGAAAGAAGAGGCCCUGACUGGGGGAAACUAAAGACUUUGCCUGGCAACCUAGAGACUUUAUCAUCGCAGGAGAUGGAUAACCAAGAUGAAACCAUGAGACAACAUUCUGGGCCAAGCAGUGAGCAAUGAGGAGACCCAGACCCCAGGUUCCUGGCUGUGUCUUUGGCUAAAAAGAAGAGGCAUUAAGACAGAUUCCCUGAGGAUACUUCAAGAACCCUGAAAUUGCCUUGCUCACAUACCACCACACUAGAGAUGUUUCAGAAAAGCAGCUUCCCUUUUGGUGCCUCCAAUCCAGAAUGACUCCAGGUGAGACGGGACCCACCGAGAGGUGAGGCAGAGAGGACAAGGCAAGGACAAAACUUCUUUGGACUAUUUUCUGCACAUCCCCAGCAGAGAUUGAUGAAUGCCUCUGAGUCAGCAAAAUCUCCAGUGGUGAAACAGAAAGCGUACACUCCACACAUUCAAGCAGCCAGGCCAGCCCACACGGAGAAGAGGAUGUUCACAUCCAGCCUGUUCAGUGGACCCCAUGGGGCAUUUCAAAGGCUAUUACAUUUCCAGGACCUUCUAUCACACCCCCUUUCUUCCAUCCCUGCUAAUAUUUGUGACUUUCCAGCUUUCUUCUCUGAAAUUAAAAUCAAACCUUUGCAAAGUGAAAAUCAGUUCAUCUGAGCUAGUGCUGGUUAAGAUUUACAAAAUAAAGAGGAAUUUUACACCCAC
Molecule: long non-coding RNA, 2356 nt
Filed under: Homo sapiens (human)
Lineage: Eukaryota; Metazoa; Chordata; Mammalia; Primates; Hominidae
Description: HSALNT0224638
Source: RNAcentral